ACAAAUAUAUAAAUGAAUAGCAAAUGCUGACGUCACAACCAUACCCUCCUCUCCAUUUAUCUCUCUCCCACACUGCGUUGACAUCAAGACUCUCACUCUAUCUCUCUCAUAUGAAGGCGAUGCGAGGUGCACGGAACUGCCAAAACGACGCCGUGAGGCUCGACCUCGCCGUCAUCCCUUCUCCUCCGCCGCCGUCCGCCGGAGCCGCGAGCCUUUCCAUCGACGGGGAUGAGACGGCGGAGACGAAGAUCCAACGGCUGAUAUCGGAGCAUCCUGUGAUCAUCUUCACCCGAUCCUCCUCAUGCUGCAUGUGCCACGUCAUGAAAAAGCUCCUCUCCACCGUCGGAGUCAACCCCACCGUCAUCGAGCUCGACGACGCCGAGAUAUCCGCCGCCGCAACCGUCUCUCACGCGCCUCUUCCUCCGGCGAUCUUCAUCGGCGGCGCGGGCAUCGGAGGGCUCGAGUCGCUCGUCGCUCUCCACCUCAGUGGUCACCUUGUUCCUCGGCUCGUCGAGGUCGGAGCCCUCUGGGCAUAACUGUAAUUUCACUUAAUCCCGAUUCCUCCUAGUUUUAUUUAUAGUUACUAUAUAUAAUUAAAGCAUGCAAUAAAUCAAUGCGGUUUGUAAAUUUUAUUAGCUUGAUCUCUUAAAUUAUGCCCGAAAAAAAAAAAAGGGAAACAUCGAUCUUGUUUGGUUCGAUCUUUAAAUUACCGAGUAAUCUAUAAAAUCAUUGGAAAACAUCUAUUUUCCCAUGAAUCAAAUUGAUUGUUCUUUUUCCUAUUUGGCACCAA
Tarenaya hassleriana is the source of this 790-nucleotide RNA transcript. It is a transcript of the gene named glutaredoxin-C10, with no coding region annotated. The record is from RefSeq and is a predicted model, not a curated record. Lineage: Eukaryota; Viridiplantae; Streptophyta; Magnoliopsida; Brassicales; Cleomaceae. The transcript is spliced from 2 exons.